UACGUAGGGGGCGAGCGUUGUCCGGAAUCAUUGGGCGUAAAGCGCUCGUAGGCGGUGUGUCGCGUCGGCCGUGAAAACCUGCAGCUUAACUGUGGGCUUGCGGUCGAUACGGGCAUCACUGGAGUUCGGCAGGGGAGACUGGAAUUCCUGGUGUAGCGGUGAAAUGCGCAGAUAUCAGGAGGAACACCGGUGGCGAAGGCGGGUCUCUGGGCCGAUACUGACGCUGAGGAGCGAAAGCGUGGGGAGCGAACAGG
This 254-nucleotide ribosomal RNA is filed under the name uncultured bacterium. RNAcentral's name for it is "partial 16S ribosomal RNA". It matches the Rfam family "Bacterial small subunit ribosomal RNA", at positions 524 to 776 of the family's 1533-position model. The record is from RNAcentral.